GAGCACCUCCAUGAGCAGCAGAAGUCCAUAUUUAUUCUCUGGGCUAUGUGAUUUGGAGAAACAAGGGUAUCCUUUGGGUCAGACCCUCUACCUCCAACUUCAGUGCUCUUUCUACUGCACCACAGACAACUUGCUUUUGCUGUGAAAACCACUGGUGCCAGGAGACCGAAACCAGCUACAGAUUACUCUUGCUAAUGAUCAGCCCAGACUGAAAAGCCAGCCACACGGGCGUAAAUAAAAUAAUACUUAAAAAAAUUACUUGGGUUGCCAUCCCAACGUUGAUUGAAAGGUUUCAGAGAUUGGAUCUAUUAGAGCAAACUGCUGAUUCAUCUUUGUUUCUCUACUGUUAACUGAGUUUCUAACAUUCAGGGACAUCCUAAUCACUCUCACAGAAAGAAAAGACAAACUCCUUGAUUUCAAAAUCAUGGGAAUACAUUUUUUGGAGAGAGUGACCUCAACUUCUUUUCCUUUUCUGAGGGUCCUAUUAUUCAAGAAACAUAUUUUGACCCCAGUUGUGUGCUAGGAAAUGUGCAAAGUGCAUUACAUACCUUGACUUACUGAAUCUUCCCACAGACCCCACAUAUAGGAGCCAUCGGAUCCCUGUGUACAGAUGAAGAACCGGGUCUUGGAAAGCUUAACUACCUUGCUCAUAGUCGCACAUUAAGGUCUAAAGUGAGAAAUUAAACCAAGUCUUCCAACCUCAAAGACUUUAAAGGAAAAGCUACAAGUUAUAAGGUGCUCCUAGUGGAGGGGAAAAAUGAAGUAAAGAAGACAACAGAGUACUGCCCAGGGAUCAAUGUGUCUCCGUGGGAAAGCCCUAAAGCUCCAGAUUGUGACAAAAACCCUGCCAUACAAGUUUCCAAUCAUGGCAGCCUUGUCACUAAAGACCAAGUCAACUGUAGAUGGGCUGUGACUGAGUAGGAGGAGGGCGUCACUCUCAAAGUUGAGGGUGUUUGAAUGAACAGUGAGUUUUCCUGUGUCUCUAUGGGAAAUCCAGACUUUGCCUAUAACAAAUUAGCUAGAACCUGUGCCACAAGAAACACACCUGUGAGAACUCCAAGGCCAACCUGAUGACCAGGGCAUGUUGUCAGAAGUAUCCAGAAUCCAAUGUCAAGCUGGUGAAUUCCACCCUGAUCACAAAUAAGAAACCCAGCCACUAUGACAUGGAACUCAUGCCCAUAGUGUGGGAUAAGGUCAAAAAGUCCACUCACAGAGACCCAAGCAAGGUCAAACCGUGCUUCCCCAAGCAGAAGACCCAGAUCCAACAGUUAUUCUCUACAGAGUCAUUGAGGAUAAAAGAGAUCACCCCCACAGGGCCAAUCAAGUCCAAAAAGACCACCCCUACAGAGCCAAUCAAGAUCUCAAACACCACCCCCACAGAGCCAAUCACCACCAAGAUACCACUGCCAUAGAGCAAACUGAAGAGUCCAUUCCCACUGAGACAAUCAAGACAGAAAAGAUCACUACCACAGAGCAGGUGGAAAUGGAAAAGAACCAUCCCUACAGAGCUAAUGGAGGUCCCAGAGACCACUCCCAAAUAUCGGAUGGAAAUGGGAGAGUUCACAGAGCCAAGCCAGGACAUAGAAAGCACCCUCACCAGCUCAACACAGACACAAAUCUUGACCACUGCUAAACCCAGUUAUGUAAAUACACCAGGCAGCAAAACCCCAUUAAAGACAGUCCAGCAGACGGAUCAGCAAAUGGACCAGCCAGUAGAUCAGUAGUAAUGUGGAAAGUCCUACAGCUCCUUCUGCAAUAUCUUCCUCAUGGUAUUACAGACAUGUAAUGGUAAUUAGGUUAAGAGAACAGGGCAGGUCAUGUCAUAAGCCCCUCUGUAUGCUGUAAAGUUUCCCAUAAGCUAUGAACUUUUGUGGUAUGAGAGUAGAGUGGAAUAUUUAACAUAUUUUAUAAUUUUUGCUCUUUCUGUUUUGCUUUAUAUUCACUUCCUUGGAUAUGAUUUUUAGAGGCUAUCUACCUCAUUAUAUACUUCCAUGGCCCACACAGCUAUGUGCCUAUCAGCAGAGAAGACCUGUCCUUGAGCUGAAGGAGGCAGAGUGAUGAACUUACUGCUGAAUUAACAAAGAUAAUAUAGCUCUGAAUGAUUUUCAGAAAUGUUUUCAACCCUUGUUAGAUUUCUUUGUGUCUAGUACCAAGUGAACUCAUAAUGUAGUCCCUAUACAUCAGUGGAAAAACUAAGGAACAACUUCUAGUUUUCUACCUAUCUCCUAAUGCAACCCAUUUCAGAAUCCCCCUUUAUAGUUUUAUCCCUUGGUCUGUGGUGCUAAAUGCUUAUUGAAGUGUAAUAAUUAGGAUCCCUGUUUUCAGGCAGGAUACUCGGUACAUGCUAUGGUUAAAUCACCUGUUAGGGUCUCAUUGGUGGUAAGAGGGGAUGCAGGAUUAGAACCCAGGAGUUCUUGCAGCAGAGUUCACAGGAUUGAGGAACCUCCUGUACCGACUCAGGUCAGAACUGCCCAUUCUCACCACCAUCUGCAGGACCCUGUCCUUGCAGAACUCAUUUGUGGAGAAGAAAGAUCUGGUUGCAUAGAGUGCCCUGUGAUGAGGGCUGUAAUGGAAGGGGCAGAGAGCUCCAUGGAAAACCAGAGAGAGGAGGCAGAAACUGCUGCAAUAUCUGGGCUUGAGCUUCACAGGGAAGGUAAUAUUGGAGCUGGAUUUUGGAGAGAUUAUCUUUAGGAAUAAAAUGGGGCAAAGUAGAGGUACUCUAGGUGUUUGACAACAUGAAUGAAAGAGAAGAAAUGGGAAAUUCCAGAUUCUGAGAGAGGUCAGGUGGCUGGGAUGGGAUGAGAUGAGACUGCUGUUGGUCAUUUACACAUUAGUAUGAGGGAUCUGAAAGUGUUUCAUUUCGAGAGUUGGGGAAGAGGAUGAACUGUCCCCAAUGCCUAAUCAUAAUUUCACAGACAGGGAAAAGUGAGGAGCAGAAGUUGGUGAAGCACUGUUCUCUAGCAUGUCUGAUAGUGGCAGGGAGGAAUGGAAGGUAGGGUGGAAGGACAGUCCUUUAUACUCCCCAACCUACUGAGAUAUAAACUGAGAAUGUCAGAGGCCAAUCCACAGUGCCACUACCUCAGACUGACAUUUGGAUGUCAUUAUCAACAUCAUCAAAACUAACACUUAUCUCUCAUCUGCUAUGUGCCAGGCAUGGUGCUAAGCUUUUCCCAUGCAUGAUGCCUGCAUUCAUUUAUUCACUCACUUACUCAACAUAUAACUUACAGAGCACUGACUCGUGCCAGGCUCGGUUCUAGGUGCCAGAGAUACAGCAAUGGAUGUACAAGAGAUGGGUCCUCUGCCCUCAUAGAACCUGGCAGUGGGGAAAUUGGUGAUGAACUCAUGAUUAUACAUGAGUUAAGAGGAAAAGUACAGCAAAGGAAGGGAAUAAAAGCGAUAGAAGGUAACUAUUUUUAGGUGGGGUGGUCAGGUGAGGCAUCCCUGUGGAGGUGACUUUUGAGUCUAGACCCAAAUGGAGGAAUUGAACCAUUUAACCCUGGGCUAAAAAUGUCCCAAAUAGAGGGAAUGGUCAGAGAAAAUUCCCUGAUGUUAAUUAAUUUAUUUACUGCUUACUAUAUACUUAUAUUCCAAUGACUAGGAUCACACUCUGCCUGUUCAGGAAACAUCAAGGAAUGUGUAUCAUUGUAGUAUGGGGCCAAGGCCUGACUGUGAACCCUACCACCACACCCAGGGAGUUGAACAGACAUUCCAGACCCUUCCCAAACUCCUUUUAGUCACAACAAAUGAGGGAAUAUUCCCUUGAGGUCUACACAGGUUCUCACAGGCCUCCUACCUGACUUAUACAACUCAACUGAGAUUGGAAAAGACUGGUAAACUCUUUUAGAGAUUAUUACAUAGUAACCCUGGUCUAAUGUGGGUUGGUGCUGUGGUUUCAAUGUUUGUGUUUCCUACAAAAUUCAUGUUAAAACUUAACCCCAAUGCAACAGCAUUAAGAGUUGGGAUGUACAGGUGGUGAUUAGGUCAUGAAGGCAGAUGAGAUUAGUACCAUGUAAAAGGGCUGAAGGAGGGAACUAGCUAGGUCCUUUUUGGCUUAUUGUCACUCAAGAACAUGGUGUUUGAUCUUUCCAAAGGACGCAGCAAGGUCCCAUCUUGGAAGCAGAUACUAGGCCAUUGUCAGACAGCUAGUCUGCUGGUGUCAUGAUCUUUAACUUCCUAGCCUCCAAAACUGAGAGAAAUAAAUUUCUCUUCUUUAGAAAUUA
Non-coding RNA from Macaca mulatta (Rhesus monkey), 4220 nucleotides. Lineage: Eukaryota; Metazoa; Chordata; Mammalia; Primates; Cercopithecidae. The record is from RefSeq and is a predicted model, not a curated record.